Molecule: ribosomal RNA, 242 nt
Filed under: uncultured bacterium
Lineage: Bacteria
Description: partial 16S ribosomal RNA
Rfam family: Bacterial small subunit ribosomal RNA
Source: RNAcentral
AUAUUAAGCAAAACCCAAACGAAGCAGUCUCAGUUCGGAUUGAAGGCUGAAAUUCGCCUUCAUGAAGCCGGAAUUGCUAGUAAUGGCAGGUCAGCAUACUGCCGUGAAUACGUUCCCGGGCCUUGUACACACCGCCCGUCACACCAUGAGAGUUGGGGAUACCCGAAGCCUGUGAGCUAACAGUAAUGAAGCAGCAGUCGAAGGUAGAAUCAAUGAUUGGGGUGAAGUCGUAACAAGGUACC